UCUGCGCUUCUCAAAAGUCCUACCUAACCAAAGUACUUUUUCAAGCCUCAAUGUGUUUUUUUUUUUAAAUACUAAUAAUUUUUUUUAGUAAUACAUUUUUGUGGUAGCAGAAGAAAUCAAUAUUGUGCGUUCGAUAGUGUUCAGCAGCUACAACCAGCUGUCAGCUCUGACGUGGAAAGAGCUUGAGGAAAAGGAUAAGGAGCUGGGGGAAAUGGAGAUGGACGCUUAACUUGCUGACUUUUGGCUGCGGCUUCUGUGGCUGCUGCUCCUACUGCUGAUGCAGCUAACGUCGGGAAAAAAAACUUGCCCUCGCCCAGUCUCCAUUGUUGUUGCCGUUGAUUAAAAUUAUACAAACGAGACUCGAUUUAUGAAAAAUUCAGGGGCCCACA
Long non-coding RNA from Drosophila erecta, 389 nucleotides. RefSeq lists it as uncharacterized. The record is from RefSeq and is a predicted model, not a curated record. Lineage: Eukaryota; Metazoa; Arthropoda; Insecta; Diptera; Drosophilidae. The transcript has 2 exons.